GGACGGCGUGGGCAUGAGUGAACCAAACUUUAAACGGAGGGUAUUUCUAGACCUUUUCGAAUAAUUUAGGGCAUAUUUGACCCUUUAAAAAACUAGGAAUAAGAUAAAAGAUAUUUGAGUCAUUUGUGUAACAACUAGGAUACAUAAGGCAAUUUUAUAACGAGAAGUAUAUCAAAUUAUCAGUUUUAAAUGACAUAAUUGAGGGGUAUAUUAGGCUUUUU
Molecule: unclassified non-coding RNA, 221 nt
Filed under: Hevea brasiliensis (rubber tree)
Lineage: Eukaryota; Viridiplantae; Streptophyta; Magnoliopsida; Malpighiales; Euphorbiaceae
Source: RNAcentral